Cornus florida is the source of this 299-nucleotide long non-coding RNA. RefSeq lists it as uncharacterized. The record is from RefSeq and is a predicted model, not a curated record. The transcript is spliced from 3 exons. NCBI's taxonomy places the organism in Eukaryota, Viridiplantae, Streptophyta, Magnoliopsida, Cornales, Cornaceae.
UUUUUUAUUUGUUCUCAGUAUGCAGCUGCUAGAGUAUAGACCAAAUGGGAAAUGAUGACUGCUCAUCUUCUUCCAAAUGAAGAGAAUAUCAAGAAAGGGGAUGAUGAUAAGUUUUCAUUGGCAUUCGCAAGAAUUGAGAACCAUUACUUUGUGCUGGGGGGAGAUAACAGCUUACUUUCGCUCUCCCUCAAGCUAAUACAAGCAAGGAUGCAGACUUAUGGAUCCCAACAGACACAAAGCAGUGGCAGCAACCUCCUUUAAUAACACCUAUUAAAUUAAUGAGUAGUGAACCUCUUUGU